Long non-coding RNA from Topomyia yanbarensis, 746 nucleotides. RefSeq lists it as uncharacterized. The transcript is spliced from 3 exons. Lineage: Eukaryota; Metazoa; Arthropoda; Insecta; Diptera; Culicidae. The record is from RefSeq and is a predicted model, not a curated record.
ACAUGUCGAGGCAGAGCGAGGCACACGAGAAGAGAUUUACAAAAUCAGAUAUUAUCCGCUAUAAUCAUCUCUAGGAGCAACUACUCCGAAUGUUUGAGAGUCGUUUAAGCGGUAUCAGAAGCUAUAUAAGUUCCUAUAAUGAGCCCGACUGUGUUGUAAAACAAAAGCUUCAGAUUGUUGGUACUAGUUAGCGAUACGCUGCGUAAAACAGAGACGGGAAAAAGCAAAAUGAAUUUAAUUAGCAUCGAAUGGUUUUUAAUCUAAUAGCAUACGUCCGACUAUUGGAGCAAUGCAGUUUUACCGAUGUCUUUCACAUGGUUCGGCCGAUUUCACCAAAUCUUAAUAAAAUUCUACUGGUAUCUGCAUGGAAUAAGCAUAUGGUAUGCUGGUGAUAAACGGUUCAGCUUGGGAACCCCGCACCGUCUACGCAACCAGUUUUGAUCAGGUUACUCUUACAUCCAACUGGUGGCACAAGACAAUUUACUCGGUCAUGAUAAUUGUAAUAAUAAACAAGUACAUGCACAAAGCGGCAGACAAUACAACCAUAUCUUGCCGUCAGUUUUUUUAUUCAGUCUGUUUCUUUGGAAAGGUACGGUACCGGUGAAGCCCGCCGGUGUCAAAUUUUUUGUUAUGAAUUCUAACUUCCUAAAACUGGAAGGUUAUCAAGUUUAAUAGGAUUUAAAACUAAGAAAAAAAUUUAAACUAUCUGAAACUAGUUCAAUAUACAAUAUGUGCAUGGAAGAUCA